RNAcentral lists this ribosomal RNA (472 nucleotides) under uncultured bacterium. RNAcentral describes it as "partial 16S ribosomal RNA". It matches the Rfam family "Bacterial small subunit ribosomal RNA", at positions 28 to 507 of the family's 1533-position model. The record is from RNAcentral.
GACGAACGCUGGCGGCGUGCUUAACACAUGCAAGUCGAACGCUGAAGCUUGGUGCUUGCACUGGGUGGAUGAGUGGCGAACGGGUGAGUAAUACGUGAGUAACCUGCCCUUGACUCUGGGAUAAGCCUGGGAAACUGGGUCUAAUACUGGAUACGACAUGUCACCGCAUGGUGGUGUGUGGAAAGGGUUUUACUGGUUUUGGAUGGGCUCACGGCCUAUCGGCUUGUUGGUGGGGUAAUGGCUCACCAAGGCGACGACGGGUAGCCGGCCUGAGAGGGUGACCGGCCACACUGGGACUGAGACACGGCCCAGACUCCUACGGGAGGCAGCAGUGGGGAAUAUUGCACAAUGGGCGGAAGCCUGAUGCAGCGACGCCGCGUGAGGGAUGACGGCCUUCGGGUUGUAAACCUCUUUCAGCACGGAAGAAGCGAAAGUGACGGUACGUGCAGAUGAAGCGCCGGCUAACUACGUG